RNAcentral lists this ribosomal RNA (525 nucleotides) under uncultured archaeon. Its description in RNAcentral is "bacterial SSU rRNA". It matches the Rfam family "Archaeal small subunit ribosomal RNA", at positions 151 to 676 of the family's 1478-position model. The record is from RNAcentral.
ACUGGAUAGGCAAUUUUUCCUGUAAUGGUUUUUUGUUUAAAUGUUUUUUCGCCUAAGGAUGGGUCUGCGGCCGAUUAGGUAGUUGGUUAGGUAAUGGCUUACCAAGCCGUUGAUCGGUACGGGUUGUGAGAGCAAGAGCCCGGAGAUGGAACCUGAGACAAGGUUCCAGGCCCUACGGGGUGCAGCAGGCGCGAAACCUCCGCAAUGUGAGAAAUCGCGACGGGGGGAUCCCAAGUGCCAUUCUUAACGGGAUGGCUUUUCAUUAGUGUAAAGAGCUUUUGGAAUAAGAGCUGGGCAAGACCGGUGCCAGCCGCCGCGGUAACACCGGCAGCUCUAGUGGUAGCAAUUUUUAUUGGGCCUAAAGCGUCCGUAGCCGGUUUAAUAAGUCUCUGGUGAAAUCCUGCAGCUUAACUGUGGGAAUUGCUGGAGAUACUAUUAGACUUGAGACCGGGAGAGGUUAGAGGUACUCCCAGGGUAGAGGUGAAAUUCUGUAUUCCUGGGAGGACCGCCUGUUGCGAAGGCGUC